AUGUAGGAGACUGUGGACAAGUUCUGAUACAAACUACUCUUAAAUAUCUAUAAAGGAUUUUUUUUCUUUCCAUCUUGUUUAUCUGGCUUAACAAAUUGGUACAGAAAUAUCCUUUCAUAUGUGAGAAAUGAGUAUUGUGCCUUUCUUAGAAUUUAUUCCAACCCUCAAAGUGUUUUCUGGACUUGCUUUGUACCUGAUGCACAGGAACUGUUCUCACUGGCUUGAGUUGACUACUUGCCAUCUGUUCCCUGAGCAUUCAUUGCUGAAUGAAAGGGGAGAGAAAGUGAAAAGAGAGAUGGGGAGAAAGAGGAAGCUGGAGAAAUAGAGGAAACAGCUGGAAGCUGAGGAGGGUGUGAGACUCAUGUAAGGUCAGUAAAACAAAAAAACAGAGGGCAGGGUCAGGUCCUAGGGGUAGAGAGCUAAUUAACUUCUGCAAGCUAUUUGAUUAAAGCAUUGUAUACUUUGUUAAAGAGACCAAAGGUACUUCAAAGGAAAUUCUGGAUUCUUCUCCAUCUACCUUAGUAAAUUGUUCAUUGGGUCAAAAUCCAUCCUGCCCUCCUGGAAUUCUGGUUUUGUUUGUUCAGAUCUAAUUCUUGCUGCCAGUGCUCCGGCAGGUGAUGAAGUAUUUGUGGAGAGCAGUAGGUAAACUUGAUGCAUUUAUUAUUUAUGACUUAAAAAGUAAAUGUUGAGUACAGCUUUUGUCCUUAAGUAGGGCUUUUAAUAACUAGCUCACCUAGCUUCUUCAUGUUUUCUGUGCCUGGACCAGUUGACCAAAUGUAGAUUUUUAGGCAACUGCUGGUUCAGAGACUCAAGGUCAAGAAAAGAGCUAAUUCUCUGUUCUGUAAAUGUAGCCAGAUCUUAACGCUGUUUUAGCUUGUGUUGCCAUCUGUCGGCAUUGUUUUCCAGAAUGGAACAGGCUUCCUCAAACUUCUGUCUGGCUAGUUGUAUGUUGUCAUAUCAGUGUUUUAGGUCACUGCUGCUCACUUUCUUUACCUAGGGAAACUACUCAACACCUAUGUCAUUAUUCUUGUUCCCUUCUUGUCCCAAGAACAGAGGGACACCCCCUGCGUGGGUGCGCGCGCGCGCGCGCGCGCACACACACACACACACACACACACACACACACACACCCGACUGAAUAUCAAAUUGACCCAGUAGAGAAGAAACUGAUGAGAAAUGUUUGUUGGAGUUUGGGUAAAGACUAUUCACUAGUUACGAUUUUGCCCUGCUCCUGUUCUUUAUAAGAACGUUGGAACAGACAUGAUAGGUGUUUUUUGUUUUUUUUGUGUGUGUGCAUGAAUAACAUUUAUAGUUUUUCUGAUGAUGCAGAUGGGUGAUACAAUGCUAUUUAGUGCCAUAUAUAUGUAUAAAAUUAUUAUUUUUAAUGUGGGAUUCAACCCAGUGGUGCUUAACCACUGACUCAUGUCUCCAGCCUUUUUUUUUUUUUUUUAAUUUUGAGAGAGGCUCUUUAAAUUGCUAAAUUAAGGCUGACCUCAAACUUCGCAGUUUUUCUGCCUCAGCCCUCCGAGUCAGUAGGAUUAUAGGCAUGCCCAGCUGUAUUCCUCUUUUAAUUAUUUGGGUUAUAGGCUAUAGCUACUAAGAAAGAGAGUCAUCGUCUCCUUACCACCUGUGCAUCAGGUACAAAGCAAACCCAGAAGAUUUAAGGAUUUGGCUUAUGUUUUUGACUAUUAGCACAUUAUAACGGAGGCUAAGCUUUGUAGUUUGGUUCAGGCAAACCAAGUUUAUGUAGCUGUUUAAAUAUCAAUUGUUUUUCAAGUUUAGCCAUUACCCCAGGGCUGGGGCAUUUGAGGGCAGUGAGGAACAGGUGUCCAAAGGAGAAAUUUGUGUUUUCCAGUUGCAUUAAAUUUCUUACUUGGUAUAUUUUUGACUUGUCUUUUUUUUUUUUUUUUUCCCCCUUGCUUGUGGCCUAUGCUGUUUUGCUUGCUCUUUGUUGGAUAGUCUGUCAUUCAAGAGUUAUAAAAUAGAAGUUAGUAUUUUUGCACAAAUGCUUUAAGGAUGAAACUGAUAGGUUUAGCACUGACUUUUGCCAGUCAAGAAUAGUUAGUGAUAAAUGUGUUUCUGUGACUUUGUCUCAUUUUUGGAGUUUUGAGUAUAUGAACUUGUUAGAAACAAUAGAGUUUUAGUUUAGAACUUAAAGCCUGGCCUGGCACUGUGGCACAGACCUGUAUCUCAGUGACUUGGAAGCAAAAGGCAGGAAGAUCAUAAGUAUAUAAGGAUCAUAAAUACUUGUUCUAAACUUUAAGGUAUUUUUCUCUGGAAAAUAUUCCAAUGUUAAAAUUUUCAUCUGACUUUAAAAGUUUGUUAACUUUUCUUUUUAGGGGAAGAGUUUGGGCAACUAUCAGGAAUUCUGAUUUUUGUCUUAAGAGAGAAAAUUAGCCAUUUUCCUCAAGAAAAGCGAUAUUUCUGAAUCUCAACUCUUCAGUAAUAAGAACUGGACUGUGUUUGCUUGGCCUCUACUUCCUGUUCGUGGGGAAACUCCUCUGCGGAGGUGCUGUGAGAAAGAUUGCUAGAUUGGGGAGAGGGUUUCUAGAUGCCAAGGUAAGAAGUUCAAGGGAGUCUACCGAAUUGCCAUUAGAAGAAUGGUAUUUAUUAAGUACUAGUUUUCCUAAUCCUGAAGAUUUGUUUUCACCAUACUUGGAAAGACAUUAAGCAUAAGAGGUCGUGUAGGGGAAAGACAUUAAGCAUAAGACAUCAUGUAGGGGAGAAGAACUGAGGAGAUACAUUACAGACUUUGAAGUUAAUGUUAGGGCAGGGAAGAAGCUGUACACUAAAUGAAAAUGGACAUGCAGUAACCAAGGUCAAAGCAAGAACACAAGAGUUUCUACCUUGUUCAUUCUUUAGGUUUGCAUCUUAUUUCCCUCCUUACCUCACAUGUAUCUUCAAAUCUAGGCUUUCUAUAAGAUACUAAUGGACAUUUAUAGAAGUCACAGAGGCCACUUAUAGGAGGCAUGUGGACCACUAACUAGAACAGUUGAGCUGAGGAAUGUAUCGGAAACCAUCGUCAUUUUCUGUCCCCUCCUGUCUUAGGCUGGCCGGUUCCCUGAUGUGUUACCUGAUUCUGCCACUGUUGCAAACUGCAGAACUUCUUUCAUCCCCAAGGCCUCCAGGCAGUAUCCAAUGGGCAAUCAGCUCUAAAUGGAAACCAGAACAACGUUUUCCAGCCCCUUCAUUCUGAUGACUGAUGGAAGGAACAAAGAGUGGGAGGAGGGAUAUACUUGCCUAGUGGAUGGAAAACAAACAGACCGGCAAAUUACUAUACCUCUAGUACCAUAGAAUUCUGCAACCAUACUGUUUGUAUUAUAUAUGUAUUGGGGAAAGUUAGAGAUGGUGACCUUCAUUAGAAGUGUCUGGAGGGGAUAAGAGUCAGUUGGUUUUGAAAGAUGUUGAAGCCUUGAAAUAAUGUGCCCAUAUGAUGAAUUUUUAAAUAUUAAAACCCUUUAUAAAAAUA
This 3469-nucleotide long non-coding RNA is filed under the name Marmota monax (woodchuck). Lineage: Eukaryota; Metazoa; Chordata; Mammalia; Rodentia; Sciuridae. The record is from RNAcentral.